UACAGAGGGUGCAAGCGUUAAUCGGAAUUACUGGGCGUAAAGCGUGCGCAGGCGGUUCGUUGUGUCGGCGGUGAAAGCCCCGGGCUCAACCUGGGAAUGGCCGUUGAAACUGGCGAACUGGAGUGUGGCAGAGGGGGGUGGAAUUCCGCGUGUAGCAGUGAAAUGCGUAGAGAUGCGGAGGAACACCGAUGGCGAGGCAGCCCCCCUGGGCUGACACUGACGCUCA
This 226-nucleotide ribosomal RNA is filed under the name uncultured bacterium. RNAcentral describes it as "partial 16S ribosomal RNA". It matches the Rfam family "Bacterial small subunit ribosomal RNA", at positions 524 to 749 of the family's 1533-position model. The record is from RNAcentral.